RNAcentral lists this transfer RNA (85 nucleotides) under Gammaproteobacteria bacterium. RNAcentral's name for it is "tRNA-Leu". It matches the Rfam family "tRNA". From Rfam's summary of the family: Transfer RNA (tRNA) molecules are approximately 80 nucleotides in length. Their secondary structure includes four short double-helical elements and three loops (D, anti-codon, and T loops). Further hydrogen bonds mediate the characteristic L-shaped molecular structure. tRNAs have two regions of fundamental functional importance: the anti-codon, which is responsible for specific mRNA codon recognition, and the 3' end, to which the tRNAs corresponding amino acid is attached (by aminoacyl-tRNA synthetases). tRNAs cope with the degeneracy of the genetic code in two manners: having more than one tRNA (with a specific anti-codon) for a particular amino acid; and 'wobble' base-pairing, i.e. permitting non-standard base-pairing at the 3rd anti-codon position. Lineage: Bacteria; Pseudomonadati; Pseudomonadota; Gammaproteobacteria. The record is from RNAcentral.
GCCGAUGUGGUGAAAUUGGUAGACACGCCAUCUUGAGGGGGUGGUGGGGAAACCCGUGUGAGUUCGAGUCUCACCGUCGGCACCA